This is a non-coding RNA of Xyrichtys novacula (pearly razorfish), 195 nucleotides long. The record is from the annotation of a GenBank genome assembly. Lineage: Eukaryota; Metazoa; Chordata; Actinopteri; Labriformes; Labridae.
UUAUUGUUUAAUUUCGCUUUGUAAACUUUUCAAUGUGUCAUUUGGUUUGGCCUUGUAGCCACCAAGUCGAUAUGAAGUUGAUCUGAAGGAUGCCGGUGUAGUGUUAGCUUCAGUUCACCUUCAUAUCGACUCAGGCGCUACAUGGCCUAACCAAAUGACACAUUGAAAAGCACACAAAGCGAAAUUAAACAAUUA